GACGAACGCUGGCGGCGUGCUUAACACAUGCAAGUCGAACGGAAAGGCCCUGCUUUUGUGGGGUGCUCGAGUGGCGAACGGGUGAGUAACACGUGAGUAACCUGCCCUUGACUUUGGGAUAACUUCAGGAAACUGGGGCUAAUACCGGAUAGGAGCUCCUGCUGCAUGGUGGGGGUUGGAAAGUUUCGGCGGUUGGGGAUGGACUAGCGGCUUAUCAGCUUGUUGGUGUGGUAGUGGCUUACCAAGGCUUUGACGGGUAGCCGGCCUGAGAGGGUGACCGGCCACAUUGGGACUGAGAUACGGCCCAGACUCCUACGGGAGGCAGCAGUGGGGAAUAUUGCACAAUGGGCGGAAGCCUGAUGCAGCAACGCCGCGUGCGGGAUGACGGCCUUCGGGUUGUAAACCGCUUUCGCCUGUGACGAAGCGUGAGUGACGGUAAUGGGUAAAGAAGCACCGGCUAACUACGUG
This 468-nucleotide ribosomal RNA is filed under the name uncultured bacterium. RNAcentral's name for it is "partial 16S ribosomal RNA". It matches the Rfam family "Bacterial small subunit ribosomal RNA", at positions 28 to 507 of the family's 1533-position model. The record is from RNAcentral.